UACUUACCCGUAACGUCGCCAGAG
Molecule: non-coding RNA, 24 nt
Filed under: Drosophila melanogaster (fruit fly)
Lineage: Eukaryota; Metazoa; Arthropoda; Insecta; Diptera; Drosophilidae
Source: RNAcentral